Molecule: ribosomal RNA, 496 nt
Filed under: uncultured Actinomycetales bacterium
Lineage: Bacteria; Bacillati; Actinomycetota; Actinomycetes; Actinomycetales
Description: bacterial SSU rRNA
Rfam family: Bacterial small subunit ribosomal RNA
Source: RNAcentral
GUAGUUCGAUCCGUGGCUCAGGACGACGCUGGCGGCGUGCUUAACACAUGCAAGUCGAACGCUGAAGCUCUGCCCUUGUGGUCGGGGUGGAUGAGUGGCGAACGGGUGAGUAACACGUGGGUAAUCUGCCCCAUACUCUGGGAUAACCCCUGGAAACGGGGGCUAAUACCGGAUAGGACAUUCUGCCGCAUGGUGGGGUGUGGAAAGUUCCGGCGGUAUGGGAUGGGCCCGCGGCCUAUCAGCUUGUUGGUGGGGUAAUGGCCUACCAAGGCGACGACGGGUAGCCGGCCUGAGAGGGUGAUCGGCCACACUGGGACUGAGACACGGCCCAGACUCCUACGGGAGGCAGCAGUGGGGAAUCUUGCGCAAUGGGCGAAAGCCUGACGCAGCGACGCCGCGUGGGGGAUGAAGGCCUUCGGGUUGUAAACCUCUUUCACCAUCGACGAAGCCCUUUGGGGUGACGGUAGGUGGGGAAGAAGCACCGGCUAACUACGUG